UUGCUGUUUUCUGUAAAUCAUGAUAAAAGUACUUCUUAAAAAAUAUCAAUAAAGACUCUCCUUCAGUUAUACAUUGAAAAAAAUCACUCUUUGGAGAAGUAUAAAAGAAUUGUGGAAAUCAGUUUGGAAAAUACAUCUCUUGGUGGAUUUAAUAUUAAAGUAAGAUAAGACAUAUAAUAGAUAUUGUAGUGGGUGGCCUUCACCCAUUAAGUUAGUCAACAACUGUUUAGAGGGAUACAUAAAUGACCCUGCUUUUGAGGACCUCACAGCAGAGUUGCGGGCAGGCGUAAAAUCAGCUCAUUGCAGUGAGGAGUAGUGUCCUGUACAUAUCCACACAGGCAGGGCUCUGCCAUCACACAUGGAGGAUCAUGGCUGAGGGAGAGUAUGGGGUGAGAAGGAAAGAGCAGUCUGGGAAGACAGCUCAACAGAGGUGACCCUGGAGCUGAGUGACAAAGUGUAAUAGGAACUAGCAAGGAGUGAGAGAGAAGUGUUGGCCAAGCAUGAAAGAGCACUUCAGAAGGACUUGCAGUGGAUUGGAGCAGGCAUGGAGUGCCAGAGGGGUGGGCUGGGAAAUGAAGCUGGAGAGAUUUGCAGGACCCAGGACCCGUGUGACUGGGCUAAGCAGGGUGGCUUUAAUCCGGGGGGGUGCUGGGAGUUUAUUGGGAGGAGGGUAUCAAAGAGCUUUUGGAGAGAGGUGAAAGGCUCACAUUUGCACAGGUACUAGCUCAUUCCAACAGCAGUAUGGAGGCGAGAGUCAGGGCCAGCUUCAUGGGUGUGCAACCCAUGGGGCUGCGAAGGGCCCCGAGCUCAGAAGGGCCCUGCACUUGGUUUAAUGCUCUGAUCUUGCCAUCUUGAAAUUCCUAAUAAUUUUUUAACAAGGAGCCCACAUUUGAUUUUGCACUGGGCCCCACAAAUUAUAGGUCUUUCCAAGACUAGAGGCCAGCUUUGUAUUGUAGUUGAUCAGGAGAUGGGGCAGUCUGGGCCUCUGUCUCUCCCUGUCCCAGCCUUUGUAUUUAGGGAUCUUCUUAACACACCGUCUAGGGAAGGAGCAACAAAUAAAAUGGCAAUGUGUGGCAUUGCCAGGGCCGGGGAGAUGUCCUGCAGUGUGUAAGGGGGAAAAUGAGUCCAAGGUAAAGACUUACUGGGGCCCCUUUGUCUCCUCUGACACCCUCAUUUCACCUCUGCAGGGAAAUUGGGAUCAGCUGGCACAGGAGGUGGGUGAGGAGGAAGACAGGUGUUCUGUGUAUUUGUUUUGUUUUGCUCGGAGAACAACCACAGAGGAAGACAAAAUGGUUCCCUUCCUGCUUUAAACCAUUUAGCUCCUUCCCGCCCCCUCUGUGCUCUGUCUGCUCCCACACUGUCCUGGGGCCCUGCUGCAGGGAGUUGGGGUCUCAGCUUUGUUCUGCCUGGAACACACACACACACACACACAUACACACACGUGCAUGCGUGCAGCUCUGGGCACGUGAGGGUUUGUUUUUGACACCAUGAGGGUUUCCUUCCACACAUCUCAGCGUGCACCAGCUGCUUAGCAACAAGCCGUUGGGCAGAGCACUGGGGAUUAAAUGCCUCUCUGGCUGCUUCCACCACAGGUGCCCCUCGGGAGGGGACAGGUCCACCAGAGGGACUUGUGUUGAGCUAAAGAGCAUGGGUGUGUGGCCGCCAGAAGGACACUCCAGAGACAGUACAGUCAGGACUCUGGUGCCGUGCCAGGGAGCUCAGAGGCCUGCUGGGAAUGAUGCUCCAGAAAAUAGAAUCCUGACGGAAAGCCGUGGGUGGUGGGAAAGCUGCAGGGAUGGCUGAUAACAGGUGGCAGGCAAAAUGUAAAAGUUCAUAAACAUCUGCUGCUGGAAAUUGCCUUGGUAGGAUCUGGGUACAGGUCACUAUUACGGCUGCCCUAAGAGCUUCCACACCGGUUUGUGGUUCUUGCCUGUGGAGCUUAAGGUCAAAAGUCCCCUCCCUUAGGAGUCCUGCCUUUGGUAUAGCAGCAAGGAAACACCAGGACUCUGUGAGUGGAUUUCCUAGGUUCACAUCAGCUCCGCCAUUUACUGUGUGACCUUGAGAAAAUUCCUUGAGCUCUCUGUGCUUCAGUUUCCUCAUCUAUGAGCCCUACCUCAUAAGACCGUUGUGAGAAUUCUGUUAAAACAGGUAAAAGGACUUGAAACAGUGUCUAGCACAUGGGUGUUAAUCAAUGAGUGGUCAAUUACUGCAUUUUCUGGGAUAAAAGUACUUUUUGUCAGAGAUGGUAUAAUUUGUCAUGAAGACUUCAAAAUGGACAUCCGUAAUCCUGACAGCAAGAAGAUGUAAACUACUUUUUUUCUAGUGUCUUCCAUUUUAUACACCUGGCACUGUACAAACUGCUUACAGAAAUUUGCAUUAACCACCCAUGGAAAUGGUUAUUUCACACCCAUGGAAACUGAGGCUCAGAAGCAAAAUGCCCUGCUCAGGGACAGAUGGCCACUCCAGAAGUGGAGCCGAGGUUUGAUGCAGUUACUCUAGGGCCCUCACUCAUUCCUCUAGGCCAAGCUGUCUCUCGCAUUGCUUUUCAGAGACGGAAAGAAAAAAAUACUGAUUUCUCUCAGCAAGUAGGAUUUGCUGGAGAGCUCCCCCCAAGGGUAACAUUUCAGAAAAAUUGUGUAAGGCCAGUGAGCUUACUGUGGCACUCACUGGUGUAUGGUACCUGGGAUGGGGAAAUACUAGCCAGCGUAUGGGGAAAUGGAGUAUGCUACCAUGGUAUGAGGCCUUAGACACCUGGAUGUGGAAUGGAAGCGUGGAUUCAUGCAGCUGUUCCAAGCUCCACACAUAAGCAGGAUGCCCAGGCUGCCUGACCAGUCACUGUCCCAGAAGCUCAGGGUGUUUCUGGUUACACACAAACCCCAGCUUCAUCAACCAAAUGGUCACUUGAGAUAGACUUACUUUCUGAAGAUCUUUUAUAGCAAUAACCUGUAUUUUUAGAAUUGUUGUAGUUAAAACACAUUGGAUUGCAUUGCACUGUACACACCAUCCAGGGCUGCAAGGACCCAUAUGGCAGCCACGAGCCACAAGCACUCAGAAUGUGGCUAGUGCAAACGGAGAUGUGCCAUGACUAUAGCGUACAGGCUGAUUUCAAAGACAGUCCAAAACAAUGUAAAGUAUUCAUUAAUAACUUGAAUAUUAUUACAGGUUAAAAUGAUAUCAUUUGAUGUGUUUAAAUAUGAUGGGUUAAAUAAAAUGUUAUUAGGAUUUUUUUCUCAUCUUUUCAAAUGAUGUAUGUGGCUUGCAUUUGCAGCUCACAGUACCUUUCUUUCAGACAGGGCUCCUCUUAAAGGUACUGAUAAUAGGCCUUGCAUUUGGAGAGGGCUUUACAAGUCAUAAAGCAUCUGCCUUUCUUUAUAGUAGAAUCACAGUAAGUCAGAGCUGGAAUGAGGAGCCUUAAGCCAUUUAGGUCAGUCUCCUGAUUUACAGGUAGAGAAACUGAGGUAUUGAGGGAAGCAAGGGUCUGGUGCAUUCCUAGCCCCCAGCCCCAGCCCAGCCCAUUCCAGGCCAGCUCAGGGCUGGCUGGCCUGCCCCUCCGCCCUGGGGAAGGCCCCGGGCAUUCCCUUGGGGAUGCUGGCAUCUUUAUUCAUGAGCCUGGCAGAGGGGAGCCCUGGAGCCUGUGGGAAGGCUGCUCUCUGCUUUCAUGGUAGAGAUAAAUAAGGAGACCUGACAGGAGAGGCUGUCAGCAGCUAGGGUGGAGGAGGAGGCUCCCAGGCUCACACCAGCUGGGUCUCCUGGGGCUGCUCAGUGCCCCCUCCAGGGGCCGGGCCCACCCUCCCCCUCAGCAGGUUCCCACAGGCAGGCUCAGCAGACCCCAGACGUCUCCCCUCACUGCCUUUGGCUUCUGUUUUCCAAGGCAUCUCCCUGGGCUGCCCCUCAGUGCCCCACAAAUGCACGUGUGCCUGCUUCUCCCGCGGCCUUUGGAACCCUGAUCCAGCCUUUUCCAUGGCCUCCCCAGGCCUGCUGGGCUUCUUCCUUCACAUCCCAGAUGCCUGGAGUCUGUGUUCUUGCUUCUUGAAGUGUGGUCAGUGGAACAGGGGCUCCUGCACCAGGAGCAGGUGUGAGAUAUGCAGAUCUUGCGGCCCCAUCCCAAAGCUGCUGAAUCAGAAUCUGCAUUUUAACAAGACCUCAGGAGGUCUGAGCUCUGGCUCACACCAGAGAUUGCAGGACACGGGGCAGGUUAACACUGUACCAGCUACAGUGACUGGCACGUCAGUGGCUGCUCUAAGCGCAGAGGGAAUGUGCUUUCUCAGGUCCUUACAGUCGAUGCAGCACCUUCAAGGGUGUUUUUGCACAUAACAACCCCUCUGCCCUGGACGAUGCUGAAUGGUUAAGUCAAGAACCUUUGGUUCUGGCCGAAGCCUACAACCCCUAAGCCACUUUGCAGCAGGAAUCAUGUCUGACUCCUAAUGCGUGAAUCCUAAGCAACUUUGCACAACUUUGCAUCAGCAGUCAGAACUGCUGACCUCACCACCAGGCUCAUGCUGCGUCUGCCUGCCUAGAGUAGAGGCACGGGUCUACUGGUGGUAUGUGCUGAGGGGUACUGGGAUCUUGCCUUUUUUGGUGUCUGUGUUCCUGUUGUACUGAGAUCAGAGAUGUGUAGGUUCGUGGCUAAGUGUAUAACCUCUAGGGCCAAACAAAAUUGCACCACUAACAGGCUGUGAUCUGGGACAAGUUCACGUAAUAUCCAUGUGCCCCUGUUUACUCAUCUGUGUCAUGGGGUGAGCAGGGUGCCUACGUAGGAGGAUUGUUAGAAGAUUACAUGGUGAAGUAUUGGCAGUGGCUUUAAACCACACGUGGCACACGUCCUAUAAAAGUUUAAUUAAACCAGCAUCUUCUGUCAAGAAUAAUGUUGACUGUGUGCCGGUUUAGACUCAUAGGCGCUGACAGAACCCCAGGGCUCAUAGAAACCCCUCUCUCUAAUCCAGCACAAGAGGAAACAGGUCGGAUUGCCAAGUCCUCUCCCAGCAUUAGACAGCCAGUAAAUGGCACGAGUGGAACUUGGGCUCUGACCCUUGUCUGCUCUGGGGUCAUGCCCUGUGGGACUUGAUUACAAAGCAGAGUGGCUCCAGGUCUGGCGCCACUGUCCUCUGUCCUCGUUAGGGUGCAGGGACUCUAACUGCUGACUCCUCCUGGCCAGCCCUCCAGGGACUUCCUCUGUGCUCUGAGAUCUAAUCUCUAAACUGGUCCUUCUAGACCACGGAGUCGAGAAUCGGACUGCAUUUGCUGGCAUCCCUCCCUAAGGAGGGGAAAAUCAAGGAGACUGAGUUUGGGAGGAGACAGUAGAAACAGGCUCCUCCCCAGGGCACUAUGUGGAAGGCUGGCUCACUGCUCACACUGAUGUCUGCAGGGAGGAGAAGAAAUGGUUCCAGUCUCUGGGUUGCAGUAAACAGGACUCCCUCCUGGAAGGAGUCCUCCCUCAGGAGCUCAGCAAGAUCUGAAAAUAGGUGGCUGGGAGCUUUCUGCAGGGAAUCAUGGCAACCAUCUGGUCUGUCCAUUCUGCCAAGGGGCUGGUGGGGUGGUGGGAUAGAUUUGCUGCCCUGGAGGGGCAGCAGCCUCUCAGAAUUUCUCAUGUUCCAAAAUUCCUUGCCUCAACCAGAUUACAGAUCUUGAGCAAAUUUGGACUCUGACUGACCUGGUGUUUGUAUGGACUUGACGGUAAUUAAAGGGAAACACAGAUACACCAAGAUGUGUCCAACAAAUCCCGCAAGGCUGGGUCAAAGGCGCCAUCCCUGGCUGGCCGGGAGCUCCCCUGGCUGCCUGGCAUGGCUCAUAAACUUUGGGCAUGCCUGUGUCUGCCUCCUUAAGCAGGCUGAGAUCCUGGGCCACAGUUUAUGCUUCUCUGUAUCCUUCCCAGCACCUAGCCCAGCACCUGGCACAUAGUGGGUACACAUAGUAGGUGAUUAUUGACUGAUCACUCAGUAUAUUUUUCCAUGAAAGAAUAAAGAAAAUCAAUUUCUUUACAUGUA
Manis pentadactyla (Chinese pangolin) is the source of this 5984-nucleotide long non-coding RNA. RefSeq lists it as uncharacterized. The transcript has 2 exons. Lineage: Eukaryota; Metazoa; Chordata; Mammalia; Pholidota; Manidae. The record is from RefSeq and is a predicted model, not a curated record.